CGUUGAAACACUGGUUUUCGUACGAUCACCGAAGUUAAGCAACAUUGAACCAGGUCAGUAUCUAGAUGGGUAACCGCUUGGAAAUACCAGGUGCUGUAA
Molecule: ribosomal RNA, 99 nt
Filed under: Acanthosepion pharaonis
Lineage: Eukaryota; Metazoa; Mollusca; Cephalopoda; Sepiida; Sepiidae
Source: RNAcentral